CUACGGGAGGCUGCAGUGGGGAAUAUUGGACAAUGGGCGAAAGCCUGAUCCAGCCAUGCCGCGUGUGUGAAGAAGGCCUUCGGGUUGUAAAGCACUUUCAGUGGGGAAGAAAGCCUUGGGGCUAAUACCCUCGAGGAAGGACAUCACCCACAGAAGAAGCACCGGCUAACUCCGUGCCAGCAGCCGCGGUAAUACGGAGGGUGCGAGCGUUAAUCGGAAUUACUGGGCGUAAAGCGCGCGUAGGCGGUCUGAUAAGCCGGUUGUGAAAGCCCCGGGCUCAACCUGGGAACGGCAUCCGGAACUGUCAGGCUAGAGUGCAGGAGAGGAAGGUAGAAUUCCCGGUGUAGCAGUGAAAUGCGUAGAGAUCGGGAGGAAUACCAGUGGCGAAGGCGGCCUUCUGGACUGACACUGACGCUGAGGUGCGAAAGCGUGGGUAGCAAACAGGAUUAGAUACCCUAGUAGUC
Molecule: ribosomal RNA, 464 nt
Filed under: Vreelandella stevensii
Lineage: Bacteria; Pseudomonadati; Pseudomonadota; Gammaproteobacteria; Oceanospirillales; Halomonadaceae
Description: partial 16S ribosomal RNA
Rfam family: Bacterial small subunit ribosomal RNA
Source: RNAcentral